This 1372-nucleotide ribosomal RNA is filed under the name uncultured bacterium. RNAcentral's name for it is "bacterial SSU rRNA". It matches the Rfam family "Bacterial small subunit ribosomal RNA", at positions 28 to 1381 of the family's 1533-position model. The record is from RNAcentral.
GAUGAACGCUGGCGGCGUGCCUAAUACAUGCAAGUCGAGCGAACGGACGAGAAGCUUGCUUCUCUGAUGUUAGCGGCGGACGGGUGAGUAACACGUGGAUAACCUACCUAUAAGACUGGGAUAACUUCGGGAAACCGGAGCUAAUACCGGAUAAUAUUUUGAACCGCAUGGUUCAAAAGUGAAAGACGGUCUUGCUGUCACUUAUAGAUGGAUCCGCGCUGCAUUAGCUAGUUGGUAAGGUAACGGCUUACCAAGGCAACGAUGCAUAGCCGACCUGAGAGGGUGAUCGGCCACACUGGAACUGAGACACGGUCCAGACUCCUACGGGAGGCAGCAGUAGGGAAUCUUCCGCAAUGGGCGAAAGCCUGACGGAGCAACGCCGCGUGAGUGAUGAAGGUCUUCGGAUCGUAAAACUCUGUUAUUAGGGAAGAACAUAUGUGUAAGUAACUGUGCACAUCUUGACGGUACCUAAUCAGAAAGCCACGGCUAACUACGUGCCAGCAGCCGCGGUAAUACGUAGGUGGCAAGCGUUAUCCGGAAUUAUUGGGCGUAAAGCGCGCGUAGGCGGUUUUUUAAGUCUGAUGUGAAAGCCCACGGCUCAACCGUGGAGGGUCAUUGGAAACUGGAAAACUUGAGUGCAGAAGAGGAAAGUGGAAUUCCAUGUGUAGCGGUGAAAUGCGCAGAGAUAUGGAGGAACACCAGUGGCGAAGGCGACUUUCUGGUCUGUAACUGACGCUGAUGUGCGAAAGCGUGGGGAUCAAACAGGAUUAGAUACCCUGGUAGUCCACGCCGUAAACGAUGAGUGCUAAGUGUUAGGGGGUUUCCGCCCCUUAGUGCUGCAGCUAACGCAUUAAGCACUCCGCCUGGGGAGUACGACCGCAAGGUUGAAACUCAAAGGAAUUGACGGGGACCCGCACAAGCGGUGGAGCAUGUGGUUUAAUUCGAAGCAACGCGAAGAACCUUACCAAAUCUUGACAUCCUUUGACAACUCUAGAGAUAGAGCCUUCCCCUUCGGGGGACAAAGUGACAGGUGGUGCAUGGUUGUCGUCAGCUCGUGUCGUGAGAUGUUGGGUUAAGUCCCGCAACGAGCGCAACCCUUAAGCUUAGUUGCCAUCAUUAAGUUGGGCACUCUAAGUUGACUGCCGGUGACAAACCGGAGGAAGGUGGGGAUGACGUCAAAUCAUCAUGCCCCUUAUGAUUUGGGCUACACACGUGCUACAAUGGACAAUACAAAGGGCAGCGAAGCCGCGAGGUCAAGCAAAUCCCAUAAAGUUGUUCUCAGUUCGGAUUGUAGUCUGCAACUCGACUACAUGAAGCUGGAAUCGCUAGUAAUCGUAGAUCAGCAUGCUACGGUGAAUACGUUCCCGGGUCU